This 426-nucleotide unclassified non-coding RNA is filed under the name Hevea brasiliensis (rubber tree). Lineage: Eukaryota; Viridiplantae; Streptophyta; Magnoliopsida; Malpighiales; Euphorbiaceae. The record is from RNAcentral.
GGUUUAUUACUGUGGCAGUCCAGUUGGAACUAUAGCUGCUAAUGAUCCAAGUGAAGCAACUAUGCUAAACUAUGAUCAAGUUUUUAUACGCGAUUUUAUACCUUCUGGGAUAGCAUUCCUUCUUAAAGGAGAAUACGAUAUCGUGAGGAACUUUAUACUUCACACGCUUCAGUUGCAGAGUUGGGAGAAAACAAUGGAUUGCUAUAGUCCAGGUCAAGGACUUAUGCCCGCCAGCUUCAAAGUGCGUACAAUUCCACUUGAUAAUGACGAAUCUGCAACAGAAGAUGUACUGGAUCCAGACUUCGGUGAGGCAGCAAUUGGUCGAGUUGCUCCUGUUGAUUCAGGAUUAUGGUGGAUUAUACUGCUAAGAGCUUAUGGAAAAUGCUCCGGGGAUCUUUCAGUUCAGGAGAGAAUUGAUGUGCAAAC